GAUGAAGAACGUAGCGAAAUGCGAUAAGUAAUGUGAAUUGCAGAAUUCAGUGAAUCAUCGAAUCUUUGAACGCACCUUGCGCCCUUUGGCUAUUCCGAAGGGCAUGCCUGUUUGAGUAUCGUGAACACCUCAACUCUCAUGGUUUGCCAUGAUGAGCUUGGACUUUGGGGGUUUUGCUGGCCUUUGGUCGGCUCCUCUCAAACGGAUCAGCUUUCCAGUGUUUGGUGGCGUCACGGGUGUGAUAACUAUCUACGCCUGUGGUUUUCUGCCAGAUAACCUUCAGCGAUGGAGGUUCGCUGGGGCUCAUAAAUGUCUCUCUUCAGUGGAGACAGCUUUUUGGACGUUUGAUCUCAAAUCAGGUAGGACUACCCGCUGAACUUAAGCAUAUCAAUACGCGGAGGA
This 402-nucleotide unclassified non-coding RNA is filed under the name soil metagenome. RNAcentral's name for it is "partial contains 5.8S ribosomal RNA, internal transcribed spacer 2, and large subunit ribosomal RNA". The stretch from base 1 to 121 matches the Rfam family "5.8S ribosomal RNA", at positions 35 to 154 of the family's 154-position model. The record is from RNAcentral.